This 351-nucleotide ribosomal RNA is filed under the name Pedobacter sp. Its description in RNAcentral is "bacterial SSU rRNA". It matches the Rfam family "Bacterial small subunit ribosomal RNA", at positions 1 to 347 of the family's 1533-position model. The record is from RNAcentral. Lineage: Bacteria; Pseudomonadati; Bacteroidota; Sphingobacteriia; Sphingobacteriales; Sphingobacteriaceae.
UUUUACAAUGGAGAGUUUGAUCCUGGCUCAGGAUGAACGCUAGCGGCAGGCCUAAUACAUGCAAGUCGAACGAUACUCUCCAGCUUGCUGGAGGGAAAAGUGGCGCACGGGUGCGUAACGCGUAUGCAACCUACCUUAAUCAGGGGGAUAGCCCGAAGAAAUUCGGAUUAACACCGCAUAAAAUCACAGUACAGCAUUGUACAAUGAUCAAAUAUUUAUAGGAUUAAGAUGGGCAUGCGUGUCAUUAGUUAGUUGGCGGGGUAACGGCCCACCAAGACCACGAUGACUAGGGGAUCUGAGAGGAUGACCCCCCACACUGGUACUGAGACACGGACCAGACUCCUACGGGAG